Molecule: ribosomal RNA, 253 nt
Filed under: uncultured bacterium
Lineage: Bacteria
Description: partial 16S ribosomal RNA
Rfam family: Bacterial small subunit ribosomal RNA
Source: RNAcentral
GACAGAGGGUGCAAACGUUGUUCGGAAUUACUGGGCGUAAAGCGCAUGUAGGCGGCCUAGCAGGUCGGAUGUGAAAUCCCUCGGCUCAACCAAGGAAGUGCAUUCGAAACCGCAAGGCUCGAGUCCCGGAGAGGAUGGUGGAAUUCUCGGUGUAGAGGUGAAGUUCGUAGAUAUCGAGAGGAACACCGGCGGCGAAGGCGGCCAUCUGGACGAGGACUGACGCUGAGAUGCGAAAGCGUGGGGAGCAAACAGG